AAAUUGAAGAGUUUGAUCAUGGCUCAGAUUGAACGCUGGCGGCAGGCCUAACACAUGCAAGUCGAGCGGAAACGAGUUAUCUGAACCUUCGGGGAACGAUAACGGCGUCGAGCGGCGGACGGGUGAGUAAUGCCUAGGAAAUUGCCCUGAUGUGGGGGAUAACCAUUGGAAACGAUGGCUAAUACCGCAUAAUAGCUUCGGCUCAAAGAGGGGGACCUUCGGGCCUCUCGCGUCAGGAUAUGCCCAGGUGGGAUUAGCUAGUUGGUGAGGUAAUGGCUCACCAAGGCAACGAUCCCUAGCUGGUCUGAGAGGAUGAUCAGCCACACUGGAACUGAGACACGGUCCAGACUCCUACGGGAGGCAGCAGUGGGGAAUAUUGCACAAUGGGCGCAAGCCUGAUGCAGCCAUGCCGCGU
This 415-nucleotide ribosomal RNA is filed under the name Vibrio parahaemolyticus. RNAcentral describes it as "bacterial SSU rRNA". It matches the Rfam family "Bacterial small subunit ribosomal RNA", at positions 1 to 402 of the family's 1533-position model. Lineage: Bacteria; Pseudomonadati; Pseudomonadota; Gammaproteobacteria; Vibrionales; Vibrionaceae. The record is from RNAcentral.